AGGGGCACCGGAGGAAGAGACAUGAAAGGCAGCGGCAGAGCUGUCAUGUCUUCACUGAGGCGUCACAGACUGCCAAAAGAGAGAUUGUUCAUCAAUAUUACUGAAAUUGAGACGAAGGGGUCGUGGGAGAGUAUCUGUCGAUGAUAAGGAAUAGAGGACAGCUGGACUGAAGCCGAGAGCCGCCUACAACUCAGAGCAGAUGAACAUGAAAGGGAGAACCCAAUGGUUGGGAGAGAAAUAAUCCAACGCAGUAUGUGGACUCAGGAUGAUAUGCAUACAUGAAAACCAGGUGCAGUAACUAGAUUUACAUGUUGUGUUUUAUGUUUACAAAAACUGUCAGAGGAAAGGCAACGUGGCCUUUCUCUGGCAGGAGGAUGUGAUAGAGGAUGAAUUUAACUUAAUGUGCAGUAAUGGACACUGGGUAAUAUGUCACAAUCUGGGUCUAAUUAUACAUUGGCUUGAGAAGGUGUGGCCCAGCAGGAGAGUGGGAGAUGUAGGACAUGAAGGUCUUCUAUAUGUGAAGUCCGGGCACAAGUUGUGGGCUGUGUUUAGUCACUUCUGAGUCCUCUUUCGUGACAUUUAGACCCGGGUCAAGACCAGAUCCAACAUGAUGCACUUCAUCUGUUCACAAGUGAACACAUACACCAAAGCCUGCUCAAUGAAAGGUCAUUUGCAACUACAAGCUGUGGGUUGUGUGUCUGGAACAGCAGAGAUUUUUGGCUGUAGUGGUCCUCAUGGGGGGGUCUGUGGGAAUGAUAUGAUGGCCCAUGUGUGUGUGUGUCCAUAUCCAUGUGUGUCUCUUUGCGUACAUGAAUAGUGUUUCACUCUGGGAGACAGCCAGCCCACCAAAUAGACCAUGGGAGUGUAUGUCUGUCUGUGUGUGUGUGUGUGUGUGUGUGUGUGUGUGUGUAGUGUAGUUAUGACCCAUCCGAACACAUGAACAGUAAAAUACAUAACUGUACAUACCCAGAUCCCCUCCCGUACAGCCUCUCACUCGCCUGCUGUGUCGAAGUGAAUCACGGGUACUCUGGCAUUUGAACUGGUGUAAACACAGCAUGUUCAAAGGCUCUGUCCUGAUCCUAAAAAAAGUGUGUUGCUGAUUCUAUCCUUUCCCCCCACUCACACAAGUACACACUCACACUUACACCCGUCACAUAUUGUGCUGAGGACCUUAUGUGUGGAAUCGGGUGUGUGAGUGCACUGGGAUCGUCAGGCGAGAAAACUCCAGAAUUAGACCUCUAAUCCUCCACCAGAACCGACUGCAGAUUGUUUUUUGAUACACUGAUAGCUAUCUAAAAGUUUCCUCUGUCUCACAAAACAAUCCAGUGAAGUAAUUUCAUCAAUGAAAAAUCACAGUUUUACUGGCCUGGUAUGUGAAACAUGGUGUCACAAUCUGUUGUCAGAAAAAACAGAAUCUCAGUUUUUGCCGGAUGUUAAAUUUCAAAGGUUGCUGUAUCCUUUAAAACCAAGUAAUUGUAAUGCAGUGUGAGUUUUAAUAUCUUGAAAAGUAGCCAAUGUGUCAGUGAAUCAAGACAAUGAAUAAUUUGAUAUUUUGUUCAAGCGUCAGAAGAGAAGGUUGGGUGCAAAGUUCACAUUUGCAAAUAAAUAAAACACGUGCCUUUUUAAGGAACAAAACAGUCUCAAAUUUGAUAUUGAGAAGGAUGUUGAUGUCAGACUUCAUCAUAUCUUAACCCUGAGACAAUAACUCAAGAGAUGAUCUUUUCCUUAACAUGAUAAAGUAGUUUUAAUGUAAAACUAAACUAAAGUUUGAAGUUUUUUGUGGGACAGGUUCCUAGU
This is a long non-coding RNA of Notolabrus celidotus (New Zealand spotty), 1797 nucleotides long. RefSeq lists it as uncharacterized. The record is from RefSeq and is a predicted model, not a curated record. Lineage: Eukaryota; Metazoa; Chordata; Actinopteri; Labriformes; Labridae. The transcript is spliced from 3 exons.